GCAGUAAGGAAUAUUGGUCAAUGGGCGCAAGCCUGAACCAGCCAUGCCGCGUGCAGGAAGACGGCCCUACGGGUUGUAAACUGCUUUUGUACCGGAAUAAACUUCUCUACGUGUAGAGAGCUGAAUGUACGGUAAGAAUAAGGAUCGGCUAACUCCGUGCCAGCAGCCGCGGUAAUACGGAGGAUCCAAGCGUUAUCCGGAUUUAUUGGGUUUAAAGGGUGCGUAGGUGGCCUAUUAAGUCAGGGGUGAAAGACGGUAGCUUAACUAUCGCAGUGCCUUUGAUACUGAUGGGCUUGAAUACAGUUGAAGUGGGCGGAAUGUGACAAGUAGCGGUGAAAUGCAUAGAUAUGUCACAGAACACCGAUUGCGAAGGCAGCUCACUAAAGUGUGAUUGACACUGAGGCACGAAAGCGUGGGGAUCAAACAGGAUUAGA
Molecule: ribosomal RNA, 434 nt
Filed under: uncultured bacterium
Lineage: Bacteria
Description: bacterial SSU rRNA
Rfam family: Bacterial small subunit ribosomal RNA
Source: RNAcentral